UACGAAGGGGGCUAGCGUUGCUCGGAAUCACUGGGCGUAAAGCGCACGUAGGCGGAUUGCUAAGUCAGGGGUGAGAUCCUGGAGCUCAACUCCAGAACUGCCUUUGAUACUGGCGACCUUGAGUCCGGGAGAGGUGAGUGGAACUGCGAGUGUAGAGGUGAAAUUCGUAGAUAUUCGCAAGAACACCAGUGGCGAAGGCGGCUCACUGGCCCGGUACUGACGCUGAGGUGCGAAAGCGUGGGGAGCAAACAGG
Molecule: ribosomal RNA, 253 nt
Filed under: uncultured bacterium
Lineage: Bacteria
Description: partial 16S ribosomal RNA
Rfam family: Bacterial small subunit ribosomal RNA
Source: RNAcentral